AUGCCCGACCCUAUCAGACCGGGCUUCCAGGCGCGUCACCACGUUGGUGAAGAAGUUCAGGUGACUGGCGUAGUCAUUCGAGUGGGGUAUGGUGCAUUCUCAUCACAGAGGUAG
This 114-nucleotide ribosomal RNA is filed under the name Triticum aestivum (bread wheat). RNAcentral describes it as "partial small subunit ribosomal RNA". Lineage: Eukaryota; Viridiplantae; Streptophyta; Magnoliopsida; Poales; Poaceae. The record is from RNAcentral.